AGUGGCGGACGGGUGAGUAACGCGUGAGGAACCUGCCUCAAAGAGGGGACAACAGUUGGAAACGACUGCUAAUACCGCAUAAGCCCACGGGUCGGCAUCGACCAGGGGGAAAAGGAGCAAUCCGCUUUGAGAUGGCCUCGCGUCCGAUUAGCUAGUUGGUGAGGUAAUGGCCCACCAAGGCAACGAUCGGUAGCCGGACUGAGAGGUUGAACGGCCACAUUGGGACUGAGACACGGCCCAGACUCCUACGGGAGGCAGCAUG
Molecule: ribosomal RNA, 262 nt
Filed under: uncultured bacterium
Lineage: Bacteria
Description: partial 16S ribosomal RNA
Rfam family: Bacterial small subunit ribosomal RNA
Source: RNAcentral